Molecule: long non-coding RNA, 363 nt
Organism: Mus caroli (Ryukyu mouse)
Lineage: Eukaryota; Metazoa; Chordata; Mammalia; Rodentia; Muridae
Source: RefSeq, a predicted model, not a curated record
UGGCUUCAAAUUUUGGAUUCUUGGCCUAAUAUUUCUUUGGCUUAUUUCUCAGUAGACCGCUCUAACCACAGCAGAGAGAACAAGUCCUUAAAAACUGCUUCACAAGCUAAUCAAACAGGAAUUUCUUUAUUUGGUCUCUCCGUCUCAAGAUUGGCCAUGAAAACACGUCUGUUUUGCAGCCUUCUUCUUCUAAAACAAGCAAGAGACAUGAAAGAAAAGACUGGUCAUGCUAUACUGCUGACUAACACCUGCUAAAAGAAGGGUGUCAGGAGAGUCGCACAGUCCCAUGAGCCGCAGUCGCAGUCACAUCUGACUACAGCUCCAGAUGCACCGACCCUCUACCCUCGAGAGAGGCUCAGAAGC